RNAcentral lists this long non-coding RNA (216 nucleotides) under Gossypium raimondii (Peruvian cotton). Its description in RNAcentral is "long non-coding RNA (GRAI_LNC003630)". Lineage: Eukaryota; Viridiplantae; Streptophyta; Magnoliopsida; Malvales; Malvaceae. The record is from RNAcentral.
AAAAACUUUCAUUAUCAAAAUAAUUAAAUUUAUUAUUAAGUGACACAGCGCUAAUUUAAAAUUAAAAAAAUAAAACUUUAAAAAUGAAAAAAAGGGGUUAAAAGUUAAAAAAUAAUAAUAAUAAGAAAAGAAAAGGAGUUUUAUGUUUUUCGAAGGCUUCAUAGUGCCUUAAGCCCUUAACUCUCUCUCCCUCUCCCUUUUUUUUCACUUCCCGUC